This 468-nucleotide ribosomal RNA is filed under the name uncultured bacterium. RNAcentral describes it as "partial 16S ribosomal RNA". It matches the Rfam family "Bacterial small subunit ribosomal RNA", at positions 28 to 507 of the family's 1533-position model. The record is from RNAcentral.
GACGAACGCUGGCGGCGUGCUUAACACAUGCAAGUCGAACGGUGAAGCUCCAGCUUGCUGGAGUGGAUCAGUGGCGAACGGGUGAGUAACACGUGAGCAACCUGCCCCAGACUCUGGAAUAAGCGCUGGAAACGGCGUCUAAUACUGGAUACGAGAUCAAGCCGCAUGGUUAUGGUCUGGAAAGUUUUUCGGUUUGGGAUGGGCUGGCGGCCUAUCAGCUUGUUGGUGCGGUAGUGGCUCACCAAGGCGACGAUGGGUAGCCUGCCUGAGAGGGCGACCGGCCACACUGGGACUGAGACACGGCCCAGACUCCUACGGGAGGCAGCAGUGGGGAAUAUUGCACAAUGGGCGAAAGCCUGAUGCAGCGACGCCGCGUGAGGUAUGACGGCCUUCGGGUUGUAAACCUCUUUCAGCAGGGAAGAAGCGAAAGUGACGGUACCUGCAGAAGAAGCACCGGCUAACUACGUG